This 444-nucleotide ribosomal RNA is filed under the name uncultured bacterium. RNAcentral describes it as "partial 16S ribosomal RNA". It matches the Rfam family "Bacterial small subunit ribosomal RNA", at positions 327 to 795 of the family's 1533-position model. The record is from RNAcentral.
CGGGCCGCUGCAGCAGUCGAGAAUCUUCCGCAAUGGACGCAAGUCUGACGGAGCGACGCCGCGUGAUCGAUGAAGUUUUUAGGAAUGUAAAGAUCUUUUCUCUAGGAGGAAGUUUAUUGACGUUACUUGAGGAAUAAGGGGUUGCUAAACUCGUGCCAGCAGCAGCGGUAAUACGGAGUGCCCCGAGCGUUAUCCGGAAUUAUUGGGCGUAAAGGGUGUGUAGGCGGUUUUAUUAGUCUUUUGUUAAAGACCCGGGCUCAACCUGGGAAAAGCAAAAGAAACGGUAAAACUAGAGAGUGUGAGAGGUGAAUGGAACUCAUAGUGUAGGGGUGAAAUCCGUUGAUAUUAUGGGGAACACCAAAAGCGAAGGCAAUUCACUGGCGCACUUCUGACGCUGAAACACGAAAGCAUGGGUCGCGAAUGGGAUUAGAUACCCCGGUAGUC